RNAcentral lists this ribosomal RNA (497 nucleotides) under uncultured bacterium. Its description in RNAcentral is "partial 16S ribosomal RNA". It matches the Rfam family "Bacterial small subunit ribosomal RNA", at positions 28 to 507 of the family's 1533-position model. The record is from RNAcentral.
GAUGAACGCUGGCGGCGUGCCUAAUACAUGCAAGUCGAGCGAACAGACGAGGAGCUUGCUCCUCUGACGUUAGCGGCGGACGGGUGCGUAACACGUGGAUAACCUACCUAUAAGACUGGGAUAACUUCGGGAAACCGGAGCUCAUACCGGAUCAUAUAUUGAACCGCAUGGUUCAAUAGUGAAAGACGGUUUUGCUGUCACUUAUAGAUGGAUCCGCGCCGCAUUAGCUAGUUGGUAAGGUAACGGCUUACCAAGGCAACGAUGCGUAGCCGACCUGAGAGGGAGAGCGGCCACACUGGAACUGGGACACGGUCCAGACUCCAACGAGAGGCGGCAGUAGGGAAUCUUCCGCGAAGGGCGAAAGCCUAACGGAGCAACGGCGCGUGAGUGAUGAAGGUCUUCGGAUCGUAAGAUGCAGUUAUUAGGGAAGAACAGAUGUGUAAGUAGCUAUGCACGUCUUGACGGUACCUAAUCAGAAAGCCACGGCUAACUACGUG